This 506-nucleotide ribosomal RNA is filed under the name uncultured bacterium. RNAcentral describes it as "bacterial SSU rRNA". It matches the Rfam family "Bacterial small subunit ribosomal RNA", at positions 8 to 526 of the family's 1533-position model. The record is from RNAcentral.
AGAGUUUGAUCAUGGCUCAGAACAAACGUUGGCGGCAUGGAUUAGGCAUGCAAGUCGAACGAAUCCCGAAGUAGCAAUACAACGGGGGAAGUGGCGAAAGGGGCAGUAAUACAUGGAUAACCUACCCUGGGGAUGGGCAUAGCCGUUCUAACGAGCGGGUAAUACCCAGCGAUUCGGCGGCGGUGGCAUCAUCGCUCCGGGAAAUGAGUUUCGCCUCGGGAGGGGUCCAUGAGCUAUCAGCUAGUUGGCGGGGUAACGGCCCACCAAGGCUUAGACGGCUAGCGGGUGUGAGAGCACGACCCGCGCCACUGGCACUGAGACACUGGCCAGACACCUACGGGUGGCUGCAGUCGAGGAUCUUCGUCAAUGGGCGCAAGCCUGAACGAGCGAUGCCGCGUGAGCGAUGAAGGCCUUCGGGUUGUAAAGCUCAAAAGGGGUGAGAAAGGGAAACUUGAUCGAACCCCAGUAAGCUCGGGCUAAGUUCGUGCCAGCAGCCGCGGUAAUAC